CGAUGUGGAUUUUUUUUUUUCUUCCUUCUAAAACCCAGAGCUUUUCACUGCAAAAGAAACCGAAGGGAAAAGUUCUCUGAAACCAGGAUGUGUGUGCAGAAUGAUGGCUGGGUGUCCACCCACAGAUUAAAACAUUCCUGCCAAGGGUAGCUCUGUUCAGAUACAGCAAAAUAGUUGUGUGGGGAUUGUAAGUGGUAGAAAGUUGCUGUUGCCUGUUCUGAGAAAGUACAGAAGAGAACAAAAAUCUGACUUUAGUUUAGAACGUGAAUUAGAAACCACAGAGAAGCAGGAUGGAAAUCCUCCAGCCUGCAGUGGCAUUUAUUGCCCAGGAUACAGAUUUGUGUUAUUCCCUUUAAGAAGCUCUGCAGAACUGUUUGUGUCUGAAGCUGUGUACCUGUUACAAGUUUUUGAAGUGGGUGCUCUUGUAAGUUCAUAGCUAAAGCAGGCUGAGCUCUUCUUAACACCUCCUGUGUCUGUCAGGCCUGGCAAAGGUGUUGGGAAAAUCCUCUCACCUGCGUGUUGGGAACUGCAGGCAACUGCUCCAGCUGAGAGAGGAGCAGGGCUGCAGCUCAGGGGAGGGGAUUGUCACUGUCUGCCCCCCUCAGGGAUGGAGGGACAGGAGCCAGGGAAUGGCUCCCACUGCCAGAGGGCAGGGAUGGGUGGGAGAUUUGGAAUUCCUGGCUGGCAGGGAGGUGAGGCCCUGGCACAGGGUGCCCAGAGAAGCUGUGGAAGUGCCCAAGGCCAGGUUGGAGCAGCCUGGGACAGUGGGAGGUGUCCCUGCCCAUGGCAGGAGGUGGAUCAGGAUGGGCUCUAAUGACCCUUCCAAGCCAGAGCCCAACUCCCAACCCAGUUCCAUGAUUUUUUACAUGCUGGGUGCUGCCCAGGAUCCUGCCCUUACCUGUGCAGGUGUCACAGGGCUGGGAUGCAACCUCCUACUCCCUCCCUUUGCCAGCAAAGGCCAGGUGCAAGAAUGGCACAGCUUUUUUGAGGUUGGUGCAGAACCUGCCCUGUCAACACCUCCAGUCACAAAUCAAUAAUUCCUGGCAUGAUCCAUUUGGAUCCUACCAAGACUUUCAGUCACCAGUUGUGUGUUCUGUACACACAGUGCUCUGUAACACAGAACUACAAAUUUCUCACAACCCCACAACAAUUUGGAAAGGAAACAGACACUGCAGGUGUAGCUGGAAGCUGAGUUUGUAAACCCAGAGAAGCUUUGUGCCAGAACCUUUUCUGAAACUCAAGGUGUGGCAGCUGCUUUCUAAUACCUGGUGUGUGUGAUUUGAAACUGUCACCAUACUAUUAAUUAAAGAAGUAAAAAAGGGGUGGUUGGUAUCGUGUUGUACUCCCUUUGGAAGCUGGAAAAGUGCCACUGGAUACAGACUUGAGUUGGUGGAGAUGCAGAAUCCCUGAGCAGGAUGCUCUUGGCUCUGCAGUGAUGUUUCUGAUGGACACAGAGACUCAUUUUGGGGUUUUUCACGUCAGCAUUGAGAUGGCAGAACAGGUAAACUGGGAGAGCUUUGUCUCAAUGAUGUCUUCAGGAGCAGUGAAAUUUGCAUCUUUCCCAUAUAAACUUCCCAAACUUUAAAGGGAGAAGAGAGUUUUUCAUCCUUCCUCAUCUUUCCCUCUCCUUGCCUUUUCUGGCCCAGGCACUUUAAUAUUUUAAGGAAAGGGCUUCAACAUUUUGGCAUUUUUAAGGACACAAUCCUUCAGUGGGAAAUAGCACUUAGGUGUGGGAUCAUUGCUGGGGAUGGGAGAGGAGAAAAUGAAAAAGCUGCCAGUCAGUUUGUGCUUUUUCAUGGAGAGCAGAGCCAGAUCUCCACAGGAAAUGGGAAGAGAGGAGCUCUGCCAUGAGCCUUUGGGAGACAUCUCUAUGUCUCACUGCUCAAGUGGCUCUGCAAGGAGUGCUGGGCUGGAAAUGGCCAGAAAUUCCCCUCUGCUGGGUUCCUUCAGUGUGCCUGGAGCAGGCUGAGCUGCAGAAAGCCCCAAAGCUGCAGAGGGACGGGCUGGGACACGCUGGAACCACUCGCUCUGCGCUGCCUCUGCCGGGCUGGGACAGGGAAUCUGGGUCAUGUCUGUCUGUCUGUCCAUCCCUCAGAACUGCUCAGCCUGAAAAGGGGAUUCCCUCCCCUGUCCCUCUUUUCUCCCCCAGAGCAGUGACAGCACAGGGGGUGCAGUGUUUGAGCAGAGGAAAAAGCUCUUUGGCUGUUUUGGUGACACACCAGGGAUUUAUUGCCGUGCCUGCUCCUGAGAAGCAGCACUUCCCUGGGUUUAGGAACUGGAAAACGAGCGUGGAUGCCUAUGUUCAUCAAAUAUUUAAUUACAGCACGUCGGUGGUGCCAUUACCUGAGCACAGGUGAGUGUCUGAAAGCCUGAUCUGGGCUCUUCUGUACAGCCAGGAUCACAUCCCUGCCUGGCCUCCUCCCCACUGCCAUUCCCAACCAAUUUCUCAUGCCCAAAGUCUAAUCCACACUCAUUCCAGGCUAUGGUCAUUAUGUCCUAAAAAGAGAAAACAUUUCUAGUCCAAAAUAACCAAGGUUUACUGAAGUCAUUCAUAUUCACACUGGCAAAUAUCCAAACAUCUUUCUUUUUGCCUACUUCCUUUCCCAUCCUCCAGCCUGCAUGGUUUCUUUUCCUUAAAGAAAAUAAGCUUUCACUUCUAGAUUUCAAUGCAUUUUAUUGCUGUAAAUCUCAAAAUAGGAAGGGAAAAGACCUUCAGGUGAAAAUCAGAAUUUAAAAGCUAAUUCUGUCCUGGCUGGGACAUUCGUUCCUUAUUUGUUUCUUCAGUUUUAAAUAUGCCAAUUUAUUUAUUUUUAUCCUGCUGAAGCUGCUUCGCAGAGGCAGUGUCAGAGUGGUGGUUUAUACCUGAAGAGAGGUUUUUGUGUAUGGAAUUCCUGAAGCCGUGAGAUAUUUUGUAAUCAGAUAGGAAUUUUGGAAAUGUAUAGGUCUUUCAGGAAUGCAUAGCUCAUGUUGUCAUCAUUUUUCAGCUCUCCACCAUCCAAACUUUGCUUUAGCUAAUGCAAGCCAGAUGGGUUAUUGCUAUUUUAUACACUAAUAUUAGUAUUUAGGGUUUUUUAAUGGUCUCUGCUAAUACUGCUGAGGUAGUAUGAAUUGCAUAAUCAUGAUUAAGGAAAUUUUUUUUUUACUUCAGUUGUUUUGUUUGUUUCUUGCUGCUGGUUAUGGAUCAGGUGUUGCAGAGAUUUGAUUAUUUUAUGUUUCACUGGUGGUGGGGGGGGAAGGUUGCUUAAAGAUGGAUUUCUGGAAGAAAGAAACAGAGUGGUUUAUACAAAUGCAAUAAAUAAAUAAAUAACUGUGGAAAAAAAAAAAAAAAAA
Taeniopygia guttata (zebra finch) is the source of this 3330-nucleotide long non-coding RNA. The record is from Ensembl. NCBI's taxonomy places the organism in Eukaryota, Metazoa, Chordata, Aves, Passeriformes, Estrildidae.